UUAAUUGAAACCAAAUAAGAGGUAUACCACUGUUAAUGGUAUCAUUGAGAAAAUCUCCAAUUAAA
This 65-nucleotide transfer RNA is filed under the name Sternolophus rufipes. RNAcentral's name for it is "tRNA-Asn". Lineage: Eukaryota; Metazoa; Arthropoda; Insecta; Coleoptera; Hydrophilidae. The record is from RNAcentral.